GACGAACGCUGGCGGCGUGCUUAACACAUGCAAGUCGAACGGAAAGGCCCUGCUUUUGUGGGGUGCUCGAGUGGCGAACGGGUGAGUAACACGUGAGUAACCUGCCCUUGACUUUGGGAUAACUUCAGGAAACUGGGGCUAAUACCGGAUAGGAGCUCCUGCUGCAUGGUGGGGGUUGGAAAGUUUCGGCGGUUGGGGAUGGACUCGCGGCGUAUCAGCUUGUUGGUGGGGUAGUGGCUUACCAAGGCUUUGACGGGUAGCCGGCCUGAGAGGGUGACCGGCCACAUUGGGACUGAGAUACGGCCCAGACUCCUACGGGAGGCAGCAGUGGGGAAUAUUGCACAAUGGGCGGAAGCCUGAUGCAGCAACGCCGCGUGCGGGAUGACGGCCUUCGGGUUGUAAACCGCUUCCGCCUGUGACGAAGCGUGAGUGACGGUAAUGGGUAAAGAAGCACCGGCUAACUACGUG
Molecule: ribosomal RNA, 468 nt
Filed under: uncultured bacterium
Lineage: Bacteria
Description: partial 16S ribosomal RNA
Rfam family: Bacterial small subunit ribosomal RNA
Source: RNAcentral